GAGAGAGCCGGAGGGUUUUAUAUAGGCUCUUGCCGGGCUCUCCCCUCCCCUGCCGCCGACCCACAGGAAUGUCUCCAUAUUUGGGUGUUGGGCAUCGAGCAAGCACAGGCGGCCCGGCUGGAGCCCCCCAGGCCCCUUGCGCGGCCGCGGGGCUGCCCAAAGAAGGAGCCCAGGCCCAGGUAACACGGGCCGGGCCGUAUAAGGAGUGUCUGACGGCCGGGACCUUCUCCACCCCCCCGGGCCACGAGGGCUCCUGUCCCAAAUAAUCCCCCGAACCACCAUGCCCUGAAAGGAGAAAGAAGCCCCCGGCUCGCGGCCGGCGGGCGGGAGUGGCAUAGGAAGGGGGCUAGGCAGCUACUGGGGCGUCCCCCAGCCCGGUCGCUCAAUGAAGGAAUGAAAACAACAAGGCAGGGAGGAAACUGCGAGGGCGCAGAGGGCGGGGGAAGGCGAGGGGGCAGCAAAGGCGACGAGGUUGUGGCCUGCGGGCCCUCUCGCCUUUCCCCCUCGGCGGCGCCAGCAAGGGAGCUGGCCAGCAGCUCCGCUAGAACUUCACUCGCUGCUGCUGCUGCUGCUGUUUUCCCCUCAACCUCCUCCCGCUUGUGGAGUGGGGAGGGGAAGCCACGUGCCACCAGAGAUUAGGCCCUCUGUGUUCAGGAGGCCUUACUUCCAGGGAGAGCAUUCCACAAAUGGGUAGCGACCACCAAAAAAGCCCAUUCUCACUUUGCCAACCUUCACAUCUCCCUGGAGAGCAGCAACACAGAGAAGGACCUCUGAUGACAAUCACAGGAUCUGGCAAACCAACAACCCAAAACAGCCUGGUAUCAAAUGGAGAAGAGACUCUUCAUGGAGAGGCACUUGGAGAACUACUUUCUAGUCUUCAUGUCAUUACCUAGAUGGUAGUAGAUCGUGUUAUCAAUGUGAAUUACUUGUCUAGGAUUGGGAUACAGUGAUAAUUUUAUCAAACACUAUCAUCAAUGGAUGAGGGGAAAAACUCAGACUGAAAAAUUCUUCCUUGAUCGGAGAUCACCAAAACUCUUAUUCUCAUACCUCAUCAAUAUACUCCAGCAGAUCAAGAGCCUUCUUGAAGUCAUAUUCAUUAGCCCUCCUGUUCUCAGAAGAUAUGUAUAACUAUUGGAUGAAAGAUUGAAACACAAAAUUGUUUUAGACUCCAAAACAGCGUACCUGACCUUGUUAACUCUCAUGUUUCUCCAAAAAACCUGAAAAAUGGAAAUGGACUGCCUUCACGUCGAUCCCGACUUAUGGCGACCCUAUGAAUAGGGUUUUCAUGAUCUGCAAGCUGUAUACUUUACACAAUGGCUUGUAAAACAUACACCUCCAGUUUAAGUCCUGAAUGCUACAUCUGCGUAUGGGACAGAAGCUCAGUAGGAUGCAAGAAAGCAGGGCUGGUCCAAAACAUUUUCCUGCCUGAAGCAAAGGAUAAGAUGGUGCCUGCCCCCAAAUUCCAUGUACAGAAGCUAAGAGGACUGGCAGUUGAAUCACUGGUGAGAGGACAGCAUCUCCUACUGUUUCCGAGGACAGUAGUCUAGCUUAAGGAAGUGUAGGGCAUGGCAUGCAGCACACACAGCUCUGUUCUCCAACAUCUCACUGCUGCCCUCAGCAUCUGCUGCCUGAGGGAGCUGCCUCAUUUUGCCUGAUGAUAGGACUGGCCCCAUAAGCAAGACUGGUUAUUCUCUGUAAAUUAUGAGGACCUUGGAUACUCUAUUUCUGUAACAGAAAAAAAACCUGUACUGUCAUAAUUCUGGAAAAAAAACCUAUAGCAAAUUAAAGGUUUCUCCUAUGACAUAAAAAGCCUGUUCGCUUGGAGUGAAUAAAGAACAUUACCUGAUCAGCAAACUGGGUCAUGUAACGUUGCAAU
Molecule: long non-coding RNA, 1876 nt
Organism: Rhineura floridana
Lineage: Eukaryota; Metazoa; Chordata; Lepidosauria; Squamata; Rhineuridae
Exons: 7
Source: RefSeq, a predicted model, not a curated record